Molecule: non-coding RNA, 270 nt
Filed under: Thermodesulfobacterium commune
Lineage: Bacteria; Pseudomonadati; Thermodesulfobacteriota; Thermodesulfobacteria; Thermodesulfobacteriales; Thermodesulfobacteriaceae
Also listed under: 1 other name
Source: RNAcentral
GUUAGGGAGAGCAGGCUGGAUGUAAGGGAAGAGGGGUGAAAAUCCCCCGCUGCCCCGCAGCCGUGACCGGGGACGAAAGCCGCUUGGAGGUCUACCUGACCUCUGGGGAAGGAGGUCCCGAGUAAGGAUUCCCUAAAAGGAGGCUUCCUUCCUUGGGCUAAAGGCCAACAGCCUUUAGCCGACAGACCACUGGUGCCGAAAGGCACUGGGAAGGUGCGGCAAGUAGGUUGAUCCGGAAGCCGGAAGACCUAUCCAGCCUCUAAAAACCUC